RNAcentral lists this non-coding RNA (28 nucleotides) under Rattus norvegicus (Norway rat). The record is from RNAcentral. Lineage: Eukaryota; Metazoa; Chordata; Mammalia; Rodentia; Muridae.
UGUGUUUGUCUUUGGCAGGCAAGAUUGA